This is a non-coding RNA of Podarcis lilfordi (Lilford's wall lizard), 82 nucleotides long. Lineage: Eukaryota; Metazoa; Chordata; Lepidosauria; Squamata; Lacertidae. The record is from the annotation of a GenBank genome assembly.
ACUCAGUUAGCUCAGUCAGUAGAGCAUGGAACUUUUAAUCUCAACGUUGUGGGUUCGUCAAAAGAUUCCUGCAUUGAAAGCA